GGUUAUAUAGCUCAGUUGUAGAGCGCUUGUCUGACAUGUGUGAGGCCCUGAGUUUGAUUCCCAGCAUCACCA
RNAcentral lists this transfer RNA (72 nucleotides) under Ictidomys tridecemlineatus (thirteen-lined ground squirrel). Its description in RNAcentral is "Spermophilus tridecemlineatus (thirteen-lined ground squirrel) tRNA". It matches the Rfam family "tRNA". From Rfam's summary of the family: Transfer RNA (tRNA) molecules are approximately 80 nucleotides in length. Their secondary structure includes four short double-helical elements and three loops (D, anti-codon, and T loops). The record is from Rfam by way of RNAcentral. Lineage: Eukaryota; Metazoa; Chordata; Mammalia; Rodentia; Sciuridae.